Molecule: ribosomal RNA, 864 nt
Filed under: uncultured archaeon
Lineage: Archaea
Description: bacterial SSU rRNA
Rfam family: Archaeal small subunit ribosomal RNA
Source: RNAcentral
GGACCCCACUGCUAUCGGGAUGGGACUAAGACAUGCUAGUUGUGCGUCUCUAAGCCAUGGUGAGACGCAGCGCACAGCUCAGUAACACGUGGCUAACCUGCCCUUGGGACGGGGACAACCUCGGGAAACUGUGGCUAAUCCCCGAUGGAUGAAGACUCCUGGAAUGGGCCUUCGUUGAAAGGGCGUCUGGAGCAUGCUUCUAGGCGUUGCCCAAGGAUGGAGCCGCGGCCGAUCAGGUUGUUGGUGAGGUAACGGCUCACCAAGCCUUUAACCGGUACGGGCCGUGGAAGCGGUAGCCCGGAGAUGGGCACUGAGAUAAGGGCCCAGGCCCUACGGGGCGCAGCAGUCGCGCAAACUCCGCAAUGCACGAAAGUGUGACGGGGCUAUCCCGAGUGCCGUCCGCUGAGGAUGGCUUUUCCACGCUGUAAGGAGGCGUGGGAAUAAGAAGAGGGCAAGACUGGUGUCAGCCGCCGCGGUAAUACCAGCUCUCCGAGUGGCGGGGAUGCUUAUUGGGACUAAAGCAUUCGUAGCCGGUUCGGCAAGUCCUCCGUUAAAUCCAGCGAUUCAAUCAUUGGACUGCGGGGGAUACUGCUGGGCUAGGGGGCGGGAGAGGCCGACGGUAUCCUCGGGGUAGGGGUGAAAUCCUAUAAUCCCGGGUAGACCACCAGUGGCGAAGGCUGUCGGCUAGAACGCGCCCGACGGUGAGGGAUGAAAGCUGGGGGAGCGAACCGGAUUAGAUACCCGGGUAGUCCCAGCUGUAAACGAUGCAGGCUAGGUGUUGGAGCGGCUACGAGCCGCUUCGGUGCCGCAGGGAAACCGUUAAGCCUGCCGCCUGGGGAGUACGGCCGCAAGGCUGAAACUUAA